RNAcentral lists this long non-coding RNA (1398 nucleotides) under Lepisosteus oculatus (spotted gar). Its description in RNAcentral is "lncRNA (ENSLOCG00000022197.1)". Lineage: Eukaryota; Metazoa; Chordata; Actinopteri; Semionotiformes; Lepisosteidae. The record is from RNAcentral.
AAACGUCAUUUUUGAUUGUUUAGUUUGUCACACUGUUUUCUUCUCACAUUAUUAUAUCAAGGUGCAAUUGUUUAACCUACCUGUGUUGUUUUGAAGGUGGCAUGUCAAAGCUACAAGUCAAUCCAGAUGAUCUUCAUAGUCUUGAAGAGGUGAGCUCCUUGGGUUUAAUGAUUUUCAUUGUUCUUUCCCAUUAGCUUUACAUGAUUUGUCAUCUCAGGCAGUUUGUAAAAAGUAACCAUGGACCGGCAGAUUUAUAGCAGUAACCUGAUGGAACGAAAUUGGUUGAUUCCAUAAUUUUGCAUGUAUUUAUAUUUUUUUCCAUUUGUUUCCUUAUUUGUCCCUAGGAUGAAGUGCUCUUCUGGGAGGAGCUCAUAGAGAAGUACCUAAAGCCACUGUCUGAAGACAAAGCCAAGCAAGCCCAAAUUAAAAAAGACCUCAAAAGCCUCAGAAACAAGGUCACUUUCGCUUUCUUCAUCAUCAAUUGUUUGUGGCUGGUGGCCACAUUCUUCCUCCAGGCUAUUGGCUCUCCAGUUAUUAUCAGCACUCCAAAGAUUUUAUCAAAUGGAUCAAUAGCAAAAGGCCAGAACAUUUCUAUAGAUCCAAUUGGGUUUAUGUUCCUGUUGUCCUUUGCUGGCCUGCUGCUCAUUCAGUUUAUUGCUAUGGGAUACCACAGAAUCUACACACUUAUACACUUCAUAGCCUAUAUAGGAACAGAACCUAAAGAAUCAAAAAGAAACUUGUCCCAGACGUCCCUGGAAAACGUGAAGGAUACUGAAAGGUAAAGAAUUUUCUGACUUUUUCUGUCCGGUUUGCAGUGUUUUACACCUCCAGAUCAAGAAGAAAUCAGAAGAUGUUGAAAUUAGAAGUAUUAAAUCUGAGCAAAUCAUGUUUAAACACCAUCUUCCAAAACCAGAUUUAUUUAAACAAAAUGGUUAAUUGAAAGACUGGUUUGUUUGUUUGAACAGUUGCUAUGAAAGCAUUGACUGGGACAGUGUUUACUGCAGGUUUGGCCAAAGGCAGAAGCACAUUUUCUGCGCAGUUCCACAAGAUUUAAAAGAGAAAUGUGUAUGUCAGUGAAAAGUGUAUCAUUGCAGCAUCAUUGAUAUCGCUUAUUUUCAGAGAAAAAGAUGAAUGUGAACCUCAUAUUUCUCCUGCAGUAUUUUUUGUAAAUGGCUGGGUUCAAGAUCUCUUCAAGACUCCAAGAACUGCGUGAGAACCUGAUGGCAGCUCUGACAGUUCAGCUCUGUUUAACUGAGAGUCCAACAUCAUGUCAAUCAGCUGCACCUCCUUAAAUCUCUUUCUGUUGAAGCACAAAACACCUGAAAAGAAUCAACUGCCCUGCAGGCUGCAUUAGACAAGUAACUUCCUUGUUUGACCAGUAGUCAAAAUGAAGCUGAA